CUCCACAGAGGGGCAGGUGGGACCCAAGAUUCAAAGAUAGGGAUGGCCUAGUGACACACUUCUGAUAAGGCUGAGUGCUGGGGGCACUUUUGUGAAGGGAAGGCCUCCCCUCUUCCAUCUUCCAGCCAGGAACUCUGAGGCACCAGCCGUCACCUUAUGACCCUGAAGACAUGUUGGGUACCAUGGAAACCACAGCAAAGGGCAGGGCAGCUGGAAAGCGGAGUGAGCCCUGGGACAGGGACUGGAGAUUGAACCCAGGACCUCGUGGUUGCUAAGCACGCGCUCCACCACUGAGCUACACCCUCCCCCCUGGAUUUGAAACAUCUUUCACCAAGCACAGAUGAAGCCAUACGCCUGCACUUAGAGACCACGGUAUGUGAAAAAUACGUAAUACUGGCGUCCUAUCCAUGUGGUGGUCUUGGCUGAUGCUGUUAAAAAAA
Long non-coding RNA from Camelus dromedarius (Arabian camel), 440 nucleotides. RefSeq lists it as uncharacterized. NCBI's taxonomy places the organism in Eukaryota, Metazoa, Chordata, Mammalia, Artiodactyla, Camelidae. The transcript is spliced from 3 exons. The record is from RefSeq and is a predicted model, not a curated record.